This 942-nucleotide long non-coding RNA is filed under the name Brachypodium distachyon (stiff brome). Its description in RNAcentral is "long non-coding RNA (BDIS_LNC005605)". Lineage: Eukaryota; Viridiplantae; Streptophyta; Magnoliopsida; Poales; Poaceae. The record is from RNAcentral.
GCACAUUGUUCAUCAAAGUGUGCAACUACGCUAGGUUUCAUAAAAAUACUGAGCUCAAAAUCACAGUGAAAAAAUUAAGUCUGGUAUAACACAUCACAAAAAAGGAUCCACCGCCAUGCCCCUCGGAACCACUCGUUAAAAAAAAAAUAUGAGUUGCAUAUUAGAAAUCAAAAUGUGCAGCUGGCCAACUGAGCUAGAUCUUUUAAAAAUUUUAGCUAAAAAAUCAUAUUGAAAAGUAUUGUGAGUGGAGUAACACAUUACAAAAUUGGUCCGCGUGUUGUCCCGCUGCCAGCACCUUUUUGAAAAAUAAGAGUUGCACAUUGUGCAUCAAAAUGUGCAACUACGUUAGGUUUUAUAAAAUAUUGAGCUAAUCACGUUACAAUUAAAAUGGGUUGUAACACAUCACAAAAACAGACAUGCCGCCCUGCCCCCCAAACCACUUCCCAUUGAACAAAAAUAUUAGUUGCACAUUAGAAAUCAAAUUUUGCAACUAUACAAUUUAAUGUAAUUGCACAUUGUAAUAACCCAAAUUGGACAAAAAAACAAAUGUACAACUUACUUAUACAAGCUUCCUUCAUAACAGGACAUUUUUUUUUUCAACAAGGCUGCUAUUAGAAAAAAAAAGAGGUAUAGAUGGAAAACAAAUGAAAACUUCCAUAGUAAUAAGAACACAUGCACAAUCAAGUGGAUUCAUUUGUGGAAGAAGGUGCAUAAUGGAAAAAAAAGUUCACAUAUCACAGUCAUAUCCGUAGUUGCACAUUAUACACCCAAUGCCUGGACUGCUAGGGGAAACCUCCCUGAGUGGGUCGAAAUUGAGAAAUAAAAAAAGCCCAUAUCAGCCCAUAACUGAGAAGUCCAACAAAGACACAAAUCAGCUUUAGGCAACAAGCAACAGCCAAAAGAAACAGUACUCCGUAGAAGAUUCGUGCACGACUUGAUGUG